Molecule: ribosomal RNA, 738 nt
Filed under: uncultured Arcobacter sp.
Lineage: Bacteria; Pseudomonadati; Campylobacterota; Epsilonproteobacteria; Campylobacterales; Arcobacteraceae
Description: bacterial SSU rRNA
Rfam family: Bacterial small subunit ribosomal RNA
Source: RNAcentral
UUAAGUCAGAAGUGAAAUCCAAUAGCUCAACUAUUGAACUGCUUUUGAAACUGAUUACCUAGAAUAUGGGAGAGGUAGAUGGAAUUUCUGGUGUAGGGGUAAAAUCCGUAGAGAUCAGAAGGAAUACCGAUUGCGAAGGCGAUCUACUGGAACAUUAUUGACGCUGAGACGCGAAAGCGUGGGGAGCAAACAGGAUUAGAUACCCUGGUAGUCCACGCCCUAAACGAUGUACACUAGUUGUUGUGAGGCUCGACCUUGCAGUAAUGCAGUUAACACAUUAAGUGUACCGCCUGGGGAGUACGGUCGCAAGAUUAAAACUCAAAGGAAUAGACGGGGACCCGCACAAGCGGUGGAGCAUGUGGUUUAAUUCGACGAUACACGAAGAACCUUACCUGGACUUGACAUAGUAAGAACUUUCUAGAGAUAGAUUGGUGUCUGCUUGCAGAAACUUAUAUACAGGUGCUGCACGGCUGUCGUCAGCUCGUGUCGUGAGAUGUUGGGUUAAGUCCCGCAACGAGCGCAACCCUCGUCAUUAGUUGCCAACAGUUCGGCUGAGAACUCUAAUGAGACUGCCUACGCAAGUAGGAGGAAGGUGAGGACGACGUCAAGUCAUCAUGGCCCUUACGUCCAGGGCUACACACGUGCUACAAUGGGGUAUACAAAGAGCCGCAAUACGGUGACGUGGAGCAAAUCUCAAAAAUAUCUCCCAGUUCGGAUUGUAGUCUGCAACUCGACUAC